GAUAGGGGAUUUGCAUAUAUUUCAAAACUUUGGUUUAUGGCAAUAUAUAUUGAUUGUGCUGAGCAAGACACAAAUAUAGGACAUUAAUUUUUUUUAAGGCGAUAAGCGUAACUUGCAUUAGGUUUUUUAGACCUAUAUAAGGCACAUGUCUUCUAUCUUUCUUACUCAAAACCUAAAUGCAAAGCCUAAGCAUUUUUCUAUAAUGGUUGCGAUAAGUUGAUAAUGACUCAUAUAUCCUAAAUCUCUACACAUAAGUUGUGACCAAUGAAAAGUCCAAAAAAUCCAACCUAAAACUAAAUCGAUGUCCACAUUAAAUAGAUCUAAUGUCUUCUUAUUUUAUAAAUAAC
RNAcentral lists this long non-coding RNA (347 nucleotides) under Brassica napus (rape). RNAcentral describes it as "long non-coding RNA (BNAP_LNC004461)". The record is from RNAcentral. Lineage: Eukaryota; Viridiplantae; Streptophyta; Magnoliopsida; Brassicales; Brassicaceae.